This 301-nucleotide ribosomal RNA is filed under the name uncultured bacterium. Its description in RNAcentral is "partial 16S ribosomal RNA". It matches the Rfam family "Bacterial small subunit ribosomal RNA", at positions 509 to 807 of the family's 1533-position model. The record is from RNAcentral.
CAGCCGCCGCGGUAAUACGAAGGGUGCAAGCGUUAAUCGGAAUUACUGGGCGUAAAGCGUGCGUAGGCGGUUUGUUAAGUCUGCUGUGAAAUCCCCGGGCUCAACCUGGGAAUGGCAGUGGAUACUGGCAAGCUAGAGUGUGUCAGAGGAUGGUGGAAUUCCCGGUGUAGCGGUGAAAUGCGUAGAGAUCGGGAGGAACAUCAGUGGCGAAGGCGGCCAUCUGGGACAACACUGACGCUGAGGCACGAAAGCGUGGGGAGCAAACAGGAUUAGAGACCCCUGUAGUCCCUGUCUCUUAUAC